Molecule: ribosomal RNA, 430 nt
Filed under: uncultured bacterium
Lineage: Bacteria
Description: partial 16S ribosomal RNA
Rfam family: Bacterial small subunit ribosomal RNA
Source: RNAcentral
GUGGGGAAUAUUGCACAAUGGGCGCAAGCCUGAUGCAGCAACGCCGCGUGAGGGAUGACGGCCUUCGGGUUGUAAACCUCUUUUAGUAGGGAAGAAGCGAAAGUGACGGUACCUGCAGAAAAAGCACCGGCUAACUACGUGCCAGCAGCCGCGGUAAUACGUAGGGUGCAAGCGUUGUCCGGAAUUAUUGGGCGUAAAGAGCUCGUAGGCGGCUUGUCGCGUCUGCUGUUACAUCCCGGGGCUCAACCCCGGGCCUGCAGUUGGUACGGGCAGGCUAGAGUGCGGUAGGGGAGAUUGGAAUUCCUGGUGUAGCGGUGGAAUGCGCAGAUAUCAGGAGGAACACCGAUGGCGAAGGCAGAUCUCUGGGCCGCUACUGACGCUGAGGAGCGAAAGCAUGGGGAGCGAACAGGAUUAGAAACCCCGGUAGUCC